CUACAUAGGCAAUGGAAACAAGUUAGCUGAGAUUUGUCAUAAAAUAAAUGUUUAAGAUACGUCAGAUGAACUACCUGCGAUGUGACUAUGACUACAAGUGGAGCCAGUGCUCAGGUUCUGAGGCUAUGUUAAAUACACCUUCAAACUUCUCUUCUAAAUUGAACUACAAUGUUAACUAGUGAGAAAGUCCGUGAAAAGAAGAGAUGCCAAAGAAGUAAAAGCACAAUGGAAGGACCAUUACUGAUGUGAAAUUUUUUAAAAUCCCAA
Molecule: long non-coding RNA, 267 nt
Organism: Cuculus canorus (common cuckoo)
Lineage: Eukaryota; Metazoa; Chordata; Aves; Cuculiformes; Cuculidae
Exons: 3
Source: RefSeq, a predicted model, not a curated record